RNAcentral lists this ribosomal RNA (301 nucleotides) under uncultured bacterium. Its description in RNAcentral is "partial 16S ribosomal RNA". It matches the Rfam family "Bacterial small subunit ribosomal RNA", at positions 509 to 807 of the family's 1533-position model. The record is from RNAcentral.
CAGCAGCCACGGUAACACGGAGGGGGCUAGCGUUGUUCGGAAUUACUGGGCGUAAAGCGCACGUAGGCGGCUUGGUAAGUUAGAGGUGAAAGCCUGGAGCUCAACUCCAGAAUUGCCUUUAAGACUGCCGAGCUAGCAGGUGAGAGAGGUAAGUGGAAUUCCGAGUGUAGAGGUGAAAUUCGUAGAUAUUCGGAAGAACACCAGUGGCGAAGGCGGCUUACUGGCUCAUACUGGACGCUGAGGUGCGAAAGCGUGGGGAGCAAACAGGAUUAGAUACCCCAGUAGUCCCUGUCUCUUAUAC